AACGUAGGAGACAAACGUUAUCCGGAGUUACUGGGCGUAAAGGGCGUGCAGGUGGUCUGUUAAGUCUGGCGUGAAAGCUCCUGGCUAAACCGGGAGAGGUCGUUGGAUACUGGCGGACUAGAGGACGGUAGAGGCGUGUGGAAUUCCGGGUGUAGUGGUGAAAUGCGUAGAGAUCGGGAGGAACACCAGUGGCGAAGGCGGCUUUCUGGUCUGCUCUUGACGCUGAGGCGCGAAGGCUAGGGUAGCAAACGGG
This 253-nucleotide ribosomal RNA is filed under the name uncultured bacterium. RNAcentral's name for it is "partial 16S ribosomal RNA". It matches the Rfam family "Bacterial small subunit ribosomal RNA", at positions 524 to 776 of the family's 1533-position model. The record is from RNAcentral.